GACGAACGCUGGCGGCGUGCUUAACACAUGCAAGUCGAACGCUGAAGACCUGGCUUUUGUUGGGUUGGAUGAGUGGCGAACGGGUGAGUAACACGUGAGUAACCUGCCCUCUUCUUUGGGAUAACGCCCGGAAACGGGUGCUAAUACUGGAUAUUCACUGAUCUUCGCAUGGGGGUUGGUGGAAAGGUUUGUUCUGGUGGGGGGUGGGCUCGCGGCCUAUCAGCUUGUUGGUGGGGUGAUGGCCUACCAAGGCUUUGACGGGUAGCCGGCCUGAGAGGGUGACCGGUCACAUUGGGACUGAGAUACGGCCCAGACUCCUGCGGGAGGCAGCAGUGGGGAAGAUUGCACAAUGGGCGAAAGCCUGAUGCAGCGACGCCGCGUGAGGGAUGGAGGCCUUCGGGGUGUAAACCUCUUUCGCUCAUGGUCAAGCCGCAACUGUGGGUUGUGGUGAGGGUAGUGGGUAAAGAAGCGCCGGCUAACUACGUG
Molecule: ribosomal RNA, 486 nt
Filed under: uncultured bacterium
Lineage: Bacteria
Description: partial 16S ribosomal RNA
Rfam family: Bacterial small subunit ribosomal RNA
Source: RNAcentral